CGUCAAAAUCCGUGCCGGAAUUGCGCGUUCGUCCUCGAUCGCGUAUACUUUUUGCGUUGACGUAACACAGUGUGUUCUGCGGCGACCAACCGCAAAACCUGAUAAAAACCUCGCUCCGGCGGGGUUUUUU
RNAcentral lists this small RNA (130 nucleotides) under Oryza sativa Indica Group (long-grained rice). RNAcentral's name for it is "istR Hfq binding RNA". It matches the Rfam family "istR Hfq binding RNA". The record is from Rfam by way of RNAcentral. Lineage: Eukaryota; Viridiplantae; Streptophyta; Magnoliopsida; Poales; Poaceae.